This 1006-nucleotide long non-coding RNA is filed under the name Serinus canaria (Common canary). RNAcentral describes it as "lncRNA (ENSSCAG00000000204.1)". The record is from RNAcentral. Lineage: Eukaryota; Metazoa; Chordata; Aves; Passeriformes; Fringillidae.
AUGGCCGGCCCGACCAGUUCGGACCAGUUCAGACCAGUUCCUUAUCAGCGCGUCCCAGCCAAACCCCCCGCGGCUGCUGGGGAUGUUCCGGGCCACGGGAAGUGCCGGGAGGUGACAGACGGACAAACGGACGCGCUGCGAGGUGACAGCGGCUCCUCCGGCAUGGCAGCAAAGCGGAUCCCGCAGCUCCUGGGCCCCUCGGGCAGGAUGUUCCCCCCGCCGGGCUGCNNNNNNNNNNNNNNNNNNNNCUUGGAGCUCUCCUGGAGCUCUACUGGGGUUCCCUUGGAGCUCUCCUGGAGCUCUCCUGGGGUUCCCCUGGAGCUCUCCUGGGGCUCACCUGGGGCUCUCCUGGGGUUCCCCUUGAGCUCCCCUGGGACUCUCCUGGGGGUGGGGCUGGGAGCCCAGCAUCCCCCAAGACCACCCUGGGUACCCACUCCUCCAUCUCCAUCCCUGGGGAUGCUGAGGAGCCCGGAGAACAUGGGUGCUGCAGGUUUUGGGGAGGAACCCGGGAUUAUCUGGGCUCUCCCAGGGCAGCCGGGGGGAUCCUGGCUCCCCAUCCCUGCCGAGGCUGCUCUGGGCUCUCACAGCUCCCAUCUCUCCACAGCCCGCCCCGUGGUGGGAUGGACCGUGGCCAGGUCACCCUGGUGGCCCCGAGGACGCCUGGGAUGGGCCACCCUGGGAGGAGCAGCCCAGGAGACGCCGGCGCAGGAGGUGCCCACCCAGCUCCAGAACCUUCCCUGGGCCUGGGGACGGCCCCUGGAACGAGGAGGAGGGGGACAGGAGGUGGGCACCCCCCGGGUGUCCCCUGCCACCCCCCUGGGGUGACAGAGAAGCCGUCCCAGGAGCCGAGGAUGACUUUGGAGAGUGCUGGUACCGGGAUCCCCCGCCUGACCCCUGGCCCGAGUACCCCGAGGAGGAGCAGCCCCAGCCCUGGUCCCCCUCCGGCUCUCCAGGGUGGGUGCCAUGCCCGGGGGGGUGACAAUGAGUGACACCAGCACCGCUGGGA